Molecule: long non-coding RNA, 747 nt
Organism: Panicum virgatum (switchgrass)
Lineage: Eukaryota; Viridiplantae; Streptophyta; Magnoliopsida; Poales; Poaceae
Exons: 4
Source: RefSeq, a predicted model, not a curated record
AUGAGGGUGCUGGAUACAGGGUCUUCCUAUCUCCAGAGAUUAGGGAAUAUGUAAAUAUAGAGGAAGAUGAGGACUUUUCCCAGUGGGAUUCUCCACCAGCCCUAGCCAUUUUACAGCAUGAUAUUGAGCACGUUGGCCCAACCAAAGUAAAGCUUUUCUUUUUGCAUGUGAUGGAGGAGGACUACUAUAGUGUCUACUGCAUCAAUUUCAUUCACGAUCGGAUAGAUGUACUUGAUUCUAGUCCAGAAGACCACACAAUUUAUCAUAAUGUUCUCGGUGACCGGAUCAUUCGAAGGCUUAAUCUCCUAUUCCAGCUGGCCAUGGAUUAUAGAGUCAAGCAGUUUAAUUGAUUCAAGCGCCCAAUAAUUGACGUAUGUAUGCACUCACACGAGAAUGAUUGUGGAUUCUUUGCAAUCAAGUUCAUGGAGCUUUGGAAUGGUGAAUCUUUCCAUGUUCCCAUCCUCACGGCAAAUGGACGUUUGUAUAGGUCUGAGCUCUUAUUCUACGGCCUCUACCAUCCACUGAACACUAUCAAGAAGCUCCCUGCUGGACUAGAAGCAUACAUGCCUCGUCUGUGACCCUCCUGUCUCCUCCAAAUUAUCGUCAAAAUAUGUGUGCAAGUGAACAAGUCUGUUAUCAAUUUUUUCCCACUAGGACAAGACUGAGUUGUCCCAGGGUAAUUAUAGUUAUCUAUAAAAAAAAUUCUAGAAUACUAUGCCCAUAUCUAUGGCAUGGAAAUACUACUUU